This 253-nucleotide ribosomal RNA is filed under the name uncultured bacterium. RNAcentral describes it as "partial 16S ribosomal RNA". It matches the Rfam family "Bacterial small subunit ribosomal RNA", at positions 524 to 776 of the family's 1533-position model. The record is from RNAcentral.
UACGUAGGGUGCAAGCGUUGUCCGGAAUUAUUGGGCGUAAAGAGCUUGUAGGCGGUUUGUCGCGUCUGCUGUGAAAUUUCGGGGCUCAACCCCGAACUUGCAGUGGGUACGGGCAGACUAGAGUGUGGUAGGGGAGACUGGAAUUCCUGGUGUAGCAGUGAAAUGCGUAGAGAUCAUGAGGAAGACCAGUGGCGAAGGCGGGUCUCUGGACAGUUCCUGACACUGAGACACGAAGGCCAGGGGAGCAAACGGG